UACAGAGGUGGCAAGCGUUGUUCGGAAUUACUGGGCGUAAAGGGCGCGUAGGCGGGCUGCCAAGUUUGGGGUGAAAUCCUCCGGCUCAACCGGGGAAGUGCCUUGAAUACUGGCGGUCUGGAGGGGGGUAGGGGCGUGCGGAACUAACGGUGGAGCGGUGAAAUGCGUUGAUAUCGUUAGGAACUCCGGUGGCGAAGGCGGCACGCUGGGCCCUCACUGACGCUGAGGCGCGAAAGCCAGGGGAGCGAACGGG
RNAcentral lists this ribosomal RNA (253 nucleotides) under uncultured bacterium. RNAcentral's name for it is "partial 16S ribosomal RNA". It matches the Rfam family "Bacterial small subunit ribosomal RNA", at positions 524 to 776 of the family's 1533-position model. The record is from RNAcentral.